RNAcentral lists this ribosomal RNA (497 nucleotides) under uncultured bacterium. RNAcentral describes it as "partial 16S ribosomal RNA". It matches the Rfam family "Bacterial small subunit ribosomal RNA", at positions 28 to 507 of the family's 1533-position model. The record is from RNAcentral.
GAUGAACGCUGGCGGCGUGCCUAAUACAUGCAAGCCGAGCGAACGGACGAGAAGCUUGCUUCUCUGAUGUUAGCGGCGGACGGGUGAGUAACACGUGGAUAACCUACCUAUAAGACUGGGAUAACUUCGGGAAACCGGAGCUAAUACCGGAUGAUAUUUUGAACCGCAUGGUUCAAAAGUGAAAGACGGUCUUGCUGUCACUUAUAGAUGGAUCCGCGCUGCAUUAGCUAGUUGGUAAGGUAACGGCUUACCAAGGCAACGAUGCAUAGCCGACCUGAGAGGGUGAUCGGCCACACUGGAACUGAGACACGGUCCAGACUCCUACGGGAGGCAGCAGUAGGGAAUCUUCCGCAAUGGGCGAGAGCCUGACGGAGCAACGCCGCGUGAGUGAUGAAGGUCUUCGGAUCGUAAAACUCUGUUAUUAGGGAAGAACAUAUGUGUAAGUAACUGUGCACAUCUUGACGGUACCUAAUCAGAAAGCCACGGCUAACUACGUG